ACGGAGGGAGCUAGCGUUGUUCGGAAUUACUGGGCGUAAAGCGUACGUAGGCGGUUAUUCAAGUCAGAGGUGAAAGCCCGGGGCUCAACCCCGGAACGGCCUUUGAAACUAGGUAGCUAGAAUUCUGGAGAGGUCAGUGGAAUUCCGAGUGUAGAGGUGAAAUUCGUAGAUAUUCGGAAGAACACCAGUGGCGAAGGCGACUGACUGGACAGACAUUGACGCUGAGGUACGAAAGCGUGGGGAGCAAACAGGAUUAGAUACCCUGGUAGUCCACGCCGUAAACGAUGAUAACUAGCUGUUCGGGUACUUGGUAUCUGAGUGGCGCAGCUAACGCAUUAAGUUAUCCGCCUGGGGAGUACGGUCGCAAGAUUA
RNAcentral lists this ribosomal RNA (372 nucleotides) under uncultured bacterium. Its description in RNAcentral is "bacterial SSU rRNA". It matches the Rfam family "Bacterial small subunit ribosomal RNA", at positions 525 to 896 of the family's 1533-position model. The record is from RNAcentral.